UGGGGAAUAUUGCACAAUGGGCGAAAGCCUGAUGCAGCGACGCCGCGUGAGGGAUGACGGCCUUCGGGUUGUAAACCUCUUUCAGCAGGGAAGAAGCGAAAGUGACGGUACCUGCAGAAGAAGCGCCGGCUAACUACGUGCCAGCAGCCGCGGUAAUACGUAGGGCGCAAGCGUUGUCGAUNAUUGGGCGUAAAGAGCUCGUAGGCGGUUAGUCGCGUCUGCUGUGAAAACUCGAGGCUCAACCUCGGGCUUGCAGUGGGUACGGGCUGACUAGAGUGCGGUAGGGGUGACUGGAAUUCCUGGUGUAGCGGUGGAAUGCGCAGAUAUCAGGAGGAACACCGAUGGCGAAGGCAGGUCACUGGGCCGCAACUGACGCUGAGGAGCGAAAGCAUGGGGAGCGAACAGGAUUAGAUACCCUGGUAGUCCAUGCCGUAAACCGUUGGGCACUAGGUGUGGGGUCCAUUCCACGGAUUCCGUGCCGCAGCAAACGCAUUAAGUGCCCCGCCU
This 507-nucleotide ribosomal RNA is filed under the name uncultured bacterium. Its description in RNAcentral is "partial 16S ribosomal RNA". It matches the Rfam family "Bacterial small subunit ribosomal RNA", at positions 355 to 874 of the family's 1533-position model. The record is from RNAcentral.